UGGGGAAUAUUGGACAAUGGGCGCAAGCCUGAUCCAGCCAUGCCGCGUGUGUGAAGAAGGCCUUUUGGUUGUAAAGCACUUUAAGCGAGGAGGAGGCUACUUGGAUUAAUACUCUAAGAUAGUGGACGUUACUCGCAGAAUAAGCACCGGCUAACUCUGUGCCAGCAGCCGCGGUAAUACAGAGGGUGCGAGCGUUAAUCGGAUUUACUGGGCGUAAAGCGUGCGUAGGCGGCUUCUUAAGUCGGAUGUGAAAUCCCUGAGCUUAACUUAGGAAUUGCAUUCGAUACUGGGAAGCUAGAGUAUGGGAGAGGAUAGUAGAAUUCCAGGUGUAGCGGUGAAAUGCGUAGAGAUCUGGAGGAAUACCGAUGGCGAAGGCAGCCAUCUGGCCUAAUACUGACGCUGAGGUACGAAAGCAUGGGGAGCAAACAGG
RNAcentral lists this ribosomal RNA (430 nucleotides) under Acidobacteriota bacterium. RNAcentral's name for it is "Acidobacteria bacterium partial 16S ribosomal RNA". It matches the Rfam family "Bacterial small subunit ribosomal RNA", at positions 355 to 776 of the family's 1533-position model. The record is from RNAcentral. Lineage: Bacteria; Pseudomonadati; Acidobacteriota.